This 489-nucleotide ribosomal RNA is filed under the name uncultured bacterium. RNAcentral's name for it is "partial 16S ribosomal RNA". It matches the Rfam family "Bacterial small subunit ribosomal RNA", at positions 28 to 507 of the family's 1533-position model. The record is from RNAcentral.
GACGAACGCUGGCGGCGUGCUUAACACAUGCAAGUCGAACGGAAAGGCCCCCACCUUGGUGGGGGUGCUCGAGUGGCGAACGGGUGAGUAACACGUGGGUGAUCUGCCCUGUACUUCGGGAUAAGCUUGGGAAACUGGGUCUAAUACCGGAUAGGACCAUGGUUUAGUGUCUCAUGGUGGAAAAAUUAUUGUUUUGGUGCAGGAUGAGCUCGCGGCCUAUCAGCUUGUUGGUGGGGUAAUGGCCUACCAAGGCGUCGACGGGUAGCCGGCCUGAGAGGGUGGACGGCCACAUUGGGACUGAGAUACGGCCCAGACUCCUACGGGAGGCAGCAGUGGGGAAUAUUGCACAAUGGGCGCAAGCCUGAUGCAGCGACGCCGCGUGGGGGAUGACGGCCUUCGGGUGGUAAACUCCUUUCGUUAGGGACGAAGCCACACCUUUUUUGGGUGUGGUGACGGUACCUUUGUUAAGAAGCACCGGCUAACUACGUG